CGGCACGUAGCGCAGCCUGGUAGCGCACCGUCAUGGGGUGUCGGGGGUCGGGGGUUCAAAUCCUCUCGUGCCGACCA
This 77-nucleotide transfer RNA is filed under the name Citrobacter freundii. RNAcentral describes it as "tRNA-Pro(ggg)". It matches the Rfam family "tRNA". Rfam says of the family: Transfer RNA (tRNA) molecules are approximately 80 nucleotides in length. Their secondary structure includes four short double-helical elements and three loops (D, anti-codon, and T loops). RNAcentral also lists the same sequence under 7 other names. The record is from RNAcentral. Lineage: Bacteria; Pseudomonadati; Pseudomonadota; Gammaproteobacteria; Enterobacterales; Enterobacteriaceae.